GUAGGUGAACCUGCGGAAGGACCAUUAAAGAAUCGCCCCGUUUUUUGAAAUGGGUUCUAUUCCCAAACCGUGUCUACAUACCUUUGUUGCUUUGGCAGGCCGCCGCUUAGGCGUUGGCUCCGGCUGACUGCGCCUGCCAGAGGACCCAAACUCGUUUGUUUAGUAAUGUCUGAGUACUAUAUAAUAGUUAAAACUUUCAACAACGGAUCUCUUGGUUCCG
RNAcentral lists this unclassified non-coding RNA (220 nucleotides) under rhizosphere metagenome. Its description in RNAcentral is "partial ribosomal RNA internal transcribed spacer region". The record is from RNAcentral.